Molecule: ribosomal RNA, 473 nt
Filed under: uncultured bacterium
Lineage: Bacteria
Description: bacterial SSU rRNA
Rfam family: Bacterial small subunit ribosomal RNA
Source: RNAcentral
ACUCCUACGGGAGGCAGCAGUGGGGAAUAUUGCACAAUGGGCGCAAGCCUGAUGCAGCCAUGCCGCGUGUAUGAAGAAGGCCUUCGGGUUGUAAAGUACUUUCAGCAGUGAGGAAGGUGGGUAUGUUAAUAGCAUAUUCAUUUGACGUUAGCUGCAGAAGAAGCACCGGCUAACUCCGUGCCAGCAGCCGCGGUAAUACGGAGGGUGCGAGCGUUAAUCGGAAUUACUGGGCGUAAAGCGCAUGCAGGUGGUUUGUUAAGUCAGAUGUGAAAGCCCGGGGCUCAACCUCGGAAUUGCAUUUGAAACUGGCAAACUAGAGUACUGUAGAGGGGGGUAGAAUUUCAGGUGUAGCGGUGAAAUGCGUAGAGAUCUGAAGGAAUACCGGUGGCGAAGGCGGCCCCCUGGACAGAUACUGACACUCAGAUGCGAAAGCGUGGGGAGCAAACAGGAUUAGAUACCCUGGUAGCACAGAG